AAAAAGGCAAACCCUGGGUUUCCGUGUCCAACUUUGACUGUCCGCCUUAUAUGAAAUUUUUUUAUAAUUUGUAUUUUCAUUGUUGUUAGAUGAUAAAACAUGAUUAAUAUUUUAUGCGUGACUUGUCUUUUUAAUCUUUUUCAAAAAAAUUUCAAAUAAGACGGACGAUCAAACAUUGGGCACGGAAACCAGGGUUUGUCUUUUU
Oryza sativa Japonica Group (Japanese rice) is the source of this 205-nucleotide microRNA precursor. It matches the Rfam family "MIR812 microRNA precursor family". Lineage: Eukaryota; Viridiplantae; Streptophyta; Magnoliopsida; Poales; Poaceae. The record is from Rfam.